GUGCCAGCAGCCGCGGUAAUACAGAGGCCUCGAGCGUUAGGCGGAAUCACUGGGCUUAAAGCGUGUGUAGGCGGGUCGUUAAGUGCUUUGUGAAAUCCCCUGGCUCAACCAGGGAACUGCUCGGCAUACUGGCGAUCUUGAGAUACCUAGGGGCAACUGGAACAGACGGUGGAGCGGUGAAAUGCGUAGAUAUCGUCUGGAACGCCAAUGGUGAAGACAGGUUGCUGGGGGUAUUCUGACGCUGAGACACGAAAGCCAGGGGAGCAAACGGGAUUAGAUACCCCGGUAGUCC
RNAcentral lists this ribosomal RNA (292 nucleotides) under uncultured bacterium. RNAcentral's name for it is "partial 16S ribosomal RNA". It matches the Rfam family "Bacterial small subunit ribosomal RNA", at positions 505 to 796 of the family's 1533-position model. The record is from RNAcentral.